ACGGAAGGCAGCAGUCGGGAAUAUUGCGCAAUGGAGGAAACUCUGACGCAGUGACGCCGCGUAUAGGAAGAAGGUUUUCGGAUUGUAAACUAUUGUCGUUAGGGAAGAAAUUUGACAGUACCUAAGGAGGAAGCACCGGCUGACUAUGUGCCAGCAGCCGCGGUAAUACAUAGGGUGCAAGCGUUAUCCGGAUUUAUUGGGUGUAAAGGGUGCGUAGACGGGAAUUUAAGUUGGUUGUGAAAUCCCUCGGCUCAACUGAGGAACUGCAACCAAAACUGAAUUUCUUGAGUGUCGGAGAGGAAAGUGGAAUUCCUAGUGUAGCGGUGAAAUGCGUAGAUAUUAGGAGGAACACCGGUGGCGAAGGCGACUUUCUGGACGAUAACUGACGUUGAGGCACGAAAGUGUGGGGAGCAAACAGGAUUAGAUACCCUGGUA
RNAcentral lists this ribosomal RNA (435 nucleotides) under uncultured Oscillospiraceae bacterium. RNAcentral describes it as "partial 16S ribosomal RNA". It matches the Rfam family "Bacterial small subunit ribosomal RNA", at positions 341 to 792 of the family's 1533-position model. The record is from RNAcentral. Lineage: Bacteria; Bacillati; Bacillota; Clostridia; Eubacteriales; Oscillospiraceae.